AGUGAACGCUGGCGGUAGGCCUAACACAUGCAAGUCGAACGGCAGCACAGUAAGAGCUUGCUCUUACGGGUGGCGAGUGGCGGACGGGUGAGGAAUACAUCGGCAUCUACUUUUUCGUGGGGGAUAACGUAGGGAAACUUACGCUAAUACCGCAUACGACCUACGGGUGAAAGCAGGGGAUCUUCGGACCUUGCGCGAUUGAAUGAGCCGAUGUCGGAUUAGCUAGUUGGCGGGGUAAAGGCCCACCAAGGCGACGCUCCGUAGCUGGUCUGAGAGGAUGAUCAGCCACACUGGAACUGGGACACGGUCCAGACUCCUAGGGGAGGAAGCAGUGGGGAAUAUUGGACAAUGGGCGAAAGCCUGAUCCAGCAAGACCGCGUGGGGAAAGAAGGCCUUCGGGUGGUAAAGACCUUUUGUGAGGAAAGAAAAGCAGCAGGUUAAUACCCCGAUGUGCUGACGGUACCCAAAGAAUAAGCACCGGCUAACUUCGUG
Molecule: ribosomal RNA, 492 nt
Filed under: uncultured bacterium
Lineage: Bacteria
Description: partial 16S ribosomal RNA
Rfam family: Bacterial small subunit ribosomal RNA
Source: RNAcentral